Molecule: ribosomal RNA, 305 nt
Filed under: uncultured bacterium
Lineage: Bacteria
Description: bacterial SSU rRNA
Rfam family: Bacterial small subunit ribosomal RNA
Source: RNAcentral
UUCGCCUACGGGACGCAGCAGUGGGGAAUAUUGCACAAUGGGGGAAACCCUGAUGCAGCAACGCCGCGUGAGUGAAGAAGGUUUUCGGAUUGUAAAGCUCUAUCAGCAGGGAAGAAAGAAAUGACGGUACCUGACUAAGAAGCCCCGGCUAACUACGUGCCAGCAGCCGCGGUAAUACGUAGGGGGCAAGCGUUAUCCGGAUUUACUGGGUGUAAAGGGAGCGUAGACGGCAAUGCAAGUCUGGAGUGAAAGGCGGGGGCCCAACCCCCGGACUGCUCUGGAAACUGUAUAGCUGGAGUGCAGGA